GAUGAACGCUGGCGGCGUGCCUAAUACAUGCAAGUCGAGCGAACGGACGAGAAGCUUGCUUCUCUGAUGUUAGCGGCGGACGGGUGAGUAACACGUGGAUAACCUACCUAUAAGACUGGGAUAACUUCGGGAAACCGGAGCUAAUACCGGAUAAUAUUUUGAACCGCAUGGUUCAAAAGUGAAAGACGGUCUUGCUGUCACUUAUAGAUGGAUCCGCGCUGCAUUAGCUAGUUGGUAAGGUAACGGCUUACCAAGGCAACGAUGCAUAGCCGACCUGAGAGGGUGAUCGGCCACACUGGAACUGAGACACGGUCCAGACUCCUACGGGAGGCAGCAGUAGGGAAUCUUCCGCAAUGGGCGAAAGCCUGACGGAGCAACGCCGCGUGAGUGAUGAAGGUCUUCGGAUCGUAAAACUCUGUUAUUAGGGAAGAACAUAUGUGUAAGUAACUGUGCACAUCUUGACGGUACCUAAUCAGAAAGCCACGGCUAACUACGUGCCAGCAGCCGCGGUAAUACGUAGGUGGCAAGCGUUAUCCGGAAUUAUUGGGCGUAAAGCGCGCGUAGGCGGUUUUUUAAGUCUGAUGUGAAAGCCCACGGCUCAACCGUGGAGGGUCAUUGGAAACUGGAAAACUUGAGUGCAGAAGAGGAAAGUGGAAUUCCAUGUGCAGCGGUGAAAUGCGCAGAGAUAUGGAGGAACACCAGUGGCGAAGGCGACUUUCUGGUCUGUAACUGACGCUGAUGUGCGAAAGCGUGGGGAUCAAACAGGAUUAGAUACCCUGGUAGUCCACGCCGUAAACGAUGAGUGCUAAGUGUUAGGGGGUUUCCGCCCCUUAGUGCUGCAGCUAACGCAUUAAGCACUCCGCCUGGGGAGUACGACCGCAAGGUUGAAACUCAAAGGAAUUGACGGGGACCCGCACAAGCGGUGGAGCAUGUGGUUUAAUUCGAAGCAACGCGAAGAACCUUACCAAAUCUUGACAUCCUUUGACAACUCUAGAGAUAGAGCCUUCCCCUUCGGGGGACAAAGUGACAGGUGGUGCAUGGUUGUCGUCAGCUCGUGUCGUGAGAUGUUGGGUUAAGUCCCGCAACGAGCGCAACCCUUAAGCUUAGUUGCCAUCAUUAAGUUGGGCACUCUAAGUUGACUGCCGGUGACAAACCGGAGGAAGGUGGGGAUGACGCCAAAUCAUCAUGCCCCUUAUGAUUUGGGCUACACACGUGCUACAAUGGACAAUACAAAGGGCAGCGAAACCGCGAGGUCAAGCAAAUCCCAUAAAGUUGUUCUCAGUUCGGAUUGUAGUCUGCAACUCGACUACAUGAAGCUGGAAUCGCUAGUAAUCGUAGAUCAGCAUGCUACGGUGAAUACGUUCCCGGGUCU
Molecule: ribosomal RNA, 1372 nt
Filed under: uncultured bacterium
Lineage: Bacteria
Description: bacterial SSU rRNA
Rfam family: Bacterial small subunit ribosomal RNA
Source: RNAcentral